UGCCCUACAGUUCCCUGACCGGGAACAAGGAGCCGGUAUCAGGCACGUCCCUAGAGCCCACGACACCUUGCUCAGCCACACCCUCAAGGGAACUCAGCAGUGAUAAACAUUAAGCCAUAAGUGAAAACUUGACUUAGUUAAAGCUAAGAGGGCCGGUAAAACUCGUGCCAGCCACCGCGGUUAUACGAGAGGCCCAAGUUGAUCAACACCGGCGUAAAGAGUGGUUAAGUUAAACCUCACAUUAAAGUCAAACAUCUUCAAGGCUGUUAUACGCAACCGAAGGCAGGAAGUUCAACCACGAAAGUGGCUUUAUUUAUUCUGAAUCCACGAAAGCUAAGGAACAAACUGGGAUUAGAUACCCCACUAUGCCUAGCCCUAAACAUUGAUAGUACUAUACACCCACUAUCCGCCCGGGAACUACGAGCAAUAGCUUAAAACCCAAAGGACUUGGCGGUGCUUUAGAUCCACCUAGAGGAGCCUGUUCUAGAACCGAUAACCCCCGUUCAACCUCACCCCUACUUGUUAAUCCCGCCUAUAUACCGCCGUCGUCAGCUUACCCUGUGAAGGUUAAAUAGUAAGCAAAACUGGUACAGCCCAAAACGUCAGGUCGAGGUGUAGCGUAUGGAGGGGGAAGAAAUGGGCUACAUUCGCUACCACAGCGAACACGAAAGGUGGGCUGAAAUGCCCUCCUGAAGGAGGAUUUAGCAGUAAGCAG
Molecule: ribosomal RNA, 715 nt
Filed under: Rhamphocottus richardsonii (grunt sculpin)
Lineage: Eukaryota; Metazoa; Chordata; Actinopteri; Perciformes; Rhamphocottidae
Description: partial 12S ribosomal RNA
Rfam family: Bacterial small subunit ribosomal RNA
Source: RNAcentral